This is a non-coding RNA of Kogia breviceps (pygmy sperm whale), 1097 nucleotides long. Lineage: Eukaryota; Metazoa; Chordata; Mammalia; Artiodactyla; Physeteridae. The record is from RefSeq and is a predicted model, not a curated record.
UUUCUGCCCAGGUCCUGUUUUGGGUCCAAGUUUAUACUGCCCAGUUCGUUUCAGUGCCACAUACCAACUGGAGUAUUUCCUUGACCGGUUUAAGGUCAGGAGUCGAAAAGUAAAGAGUGAAAGGAAAAGUCAAGGUCAGCACUGAGCUUCAUGGGCUAAUUUCCCAGAAAUAGACCUAAACCACAUCAGUCAGUUAUCCUCAGGACGUUGAGGUUACUUGUACCUUUUUACACAGAGGGGAGAGAAGGAAAUUGUGCAUCUGUGCUGAACAUUCAGACAUGUUAGUUUACUAAACAGCUGAUGUGCACUUGAAAACAAACUGCAUUUUUUAAUGGGUAGUAGAGCCAAAAUUCAGUCUCAAUAAAAGCAUGCAUCUAACAUCCCAUUUUAAGCAAUUUUCAGUUCUCUCCAUCCUAAGUUUACAAAUCAUCUUCAUUGGUUGUGAUGUCAAUAAUCCUGUUAAAAACUGAUGCAGUGUAAUUUUUUUAAGCUUUAUAAACAUAUUCACAGAGCUUUUUUCCUAUACUCAGUGUUUAACUGCUCACCAUUUCAAACUUAAGAGAAAAGGAGAUCUUCAGAGGACAUCACAGAGGAAGUGGGCACUGGGAUACAUCAGUGAACAAAACUGAACAAAGAUCCCCGCCUUGGUGCUGGUCAGAUUCUCACUGGGGGAGACACAAAAUAAGCAUACCAUGAUUUUGCAGUUUUGGCUUAUGAGAGAGUUUGCUCAACAUGAGUCCAAGAAUGCUUUUGCUUACACCACUUCUGAGAAUUAAAAACACAUGAUGUGUAAGUAUCAGUGUUGACUAUUUCAAAACACACUAAGACACAAAUUGUAAAAAGUUAAAAGUAAAUGUAAUCUUAAUACUGUAAUAUAUAUAUGUAGCUUAUGUGAAAUUUUAUAAGAUUGGAUUCUAAAAGAAGCAAUAAUUCUUAUUAAGCGGUAACCUUUACAUUUAAUCUAGUAUUUUAUCUCUUAAAAAUGAUAUUCUUCUUUACUGCAUUCUUCUGACAAAUUUAAUCAGUAUAUAUCGCCAUUCUGUAUAAGUGAACCCUCAAAAAUCUCUUUUCUCUACUUUAAAUUUCAUUUCAUUGUA